UACAGAGGGUGCAAGCGUUAUCCGGAAUUACUGGGCGUAAAGGGCGUGUAGGUGGUUUGUUAAGUUCGAUGUUAAAGCGUGAGGCUCAACCUCAUAAUGGCGUUGAAUACUGGCAAGCUAGACGACUGGAGAGGAAAGCAGAAUUACCAGUGUAGCGGUGAAAUGCGUAGAUACUGGUAGGAAUACCCAUUGCGAAGGCAGCUUUCUGGACAGUUUGUGACACUCAGACGCGAAAGUGUGGGGAGCAAACCGG
This 253-nucleotide ribosomal RNA is filed under the name uncultured Truepera sp. Its description in RNAcentral is "partial 16S ribosomal RNA". It matches the Rfam family "Bacterial small subunit ribosomal RNA", at positions 524 to 776 of the family's 1533-position model. The record is from RNAcentral. Lineage: Bacteria; Thermotogati; Deinococcota; Deinococci; Trueperales; Trueperaceae.